Molecule: long non-coding RNA, 980 nt
Organism: Parus major (Great Tit)
Lineage: Eukaryota; Metazoa; Chordata; Aves; Passeriformes; Paridae
Exons: 3
Source: RefSeq, a predicted model, not a curated record
UAGACAGCACCAUUUGGAGAACAGAAUAUUUAACUUAUGGGAAGCAUAACAGAUGCACAUAUGGGUGUAUAAUAGACAGAUACACAUAUGGGUGGGACGGGACUCUGAACAACGUGCUCUGAUGGAGGGUUUCCUGCCCAUGGCAGGGUGUUGGAACUGGACGAUCUUCAAGGUCCCUUCCAACCCAAGACUUUCUGUGAUUCUAUCAUAUUUGGCUGUAGUUCAUUGCAACAAAGUAGGUAAUUAGAUAUAUACAGCAUGAAAUGUAGCCACUCUACUACUAGCACUUUUACUACAGCCCACAUAUCACAUUGCUGUUCUGUUAGCUGAAGACAUUUUUGCCUUAUUUACUUGUCUUUCACUCAGUCUUUUCCUUCACUGUCUUGGGAAUGCUUCAUGUCCCAUAAACAUUUUAUUUUUGUUUUGUGUCCAGAAGUGCUACUGUCUCCUCCCUUCCAGCUCAGGAAUAUGGGUGAAGGGUGGCCCAGAAUCCUGCGGAGGUUGGAAGACAAUGGCUGUCUUUCCUUCUGGUGGGGUGAUCAACAGAGCUGCCAUGAGGCAUGGCACUGUGACCAGGGCCUGCCAGCUUGUUUCUCUGCUCCUCUGCCACUUGGGAGCCCGGAGCCUGAGUGUGCUGUGUCAAGGCUAAGAGCCAGGAGCACUCCCUGCUGGGCUGUUCCCUCUGUAUGGCAGCCCAACCUCAGGACCAGCUGUCAUGGGAUCCCACUGCUCCUGCCACUGCUUUGGGGUUAGUGCUACACUUUGAUUUGCCGCCCCUGGGAGUCUGCUCAUCUUUGCUGCUCCAGCAUGCUGCUCUGAAAGCACUGCUACAGACCAGCUCACCACGCGGAGUGGCACUGAGACCAGCUGCUCCCCACGAGUUUUGGAAAGGAGCCACCUCCUCUCUUUCCCUGUCGCCUGAACCGCCAUUGCCAGAGGUGAGGCUGCUGAGCUCGCGCCACAGUGCCCCCUGCCGGCGC